UCCAGUCACUUUACUUUCAUCCAAAAGAAACACAAACAGAAACACAAUCAGCUUAAACCUGUUGUUGUUGUUGUCGUUUGAGAUGCCGUGUCUUUGUUCUUGGCACGGUGGCUCUACCAGCUGGCAGACAGAGAGACGGAGCUUCACAGGGUUACAGUGUUGUGGGUCACCAGAGCCAAGCUCUCAGCAGCACCAGUCCAUAACACGUAUAAGGCAAUAGCUUUGUGCUCCCUACGGGGACCCGCCCCCCACUUUGGGAACCACCGCUUUCCAGCCGUUGUGCAGUGAACACCCAGACAGACAGAGUGCAGUCUAUGGCAUCCUUAGCCUCUGCAGAAAACUGGACCGUGUCAAAACCAGACAACCUUGGAAUGGUAAAAUCACAACUAAUGAGCUCUCUCACUGUGCUGUAAAAUGACACCACUGCAGUUUCCACCACAAUAUGGAGGAAAACAGGAGAGGAUAGAGGGGAGAGAGAGGGGACUCUGGGUCAGAGACUGCAGCCAUCACUGAGCUCUGUGGGUGUGGAGGUAAUGGGCUGACUUCAGUGUGUGCGUGCUCGGUGUAUCAU
Molecule: long non-coding RNA, 571 nt
Organism: Cynoglossus semilaevis (tongue sole)
Lineage: Eukaryota; Metazoa; Chordata; Actinopteri; Pleuronectiformes; Cynoglossidae
Exons: 3
Source: RefSeq, a predicted model, not a curated record